This 253-nucleotide ribosomal RNA is filed under the name uncultured bacterium. RNAcentral's name for it is "partial 16S ribosomal RNA". It matches the Rfam family "Bacterial small subunit ribosomal RNA", at positions 524 to 776 of the family's 1533-position model. The record is from RNAcentral.
UACGGAGGGGGCUAGCGUUGUUCGGAAUUACUGGGCGUAAAGCGCACGUAGGCGGCUUUGUAAGUUAGAGGUGAAAGCCCGGAGCUCAACUCCGGAACUGCCUUUAAGACUGCAUCGCUUGAACGUCGGAGAGGUAAGUGGAAUUCCGAGUGUAGAGGUGAAAUUCGUAGAUAUUCGGAAGAACACCAGUGGCGAAGGCGACUUACUGGACGACUGUUGACGCUGAGGUGCGAAAGCGUGGGGAGCAAACGGG